Molecule: non-coding RNA, 22 nt
Filed under: Arabidopsis thaliana (thale cress)
Lineage: Eukaryota; Viridiplantae; Streptophyta; Magnoliopsida; Brassicales; Brassicaceae
Source: RNAcentral
GCAAGUCUCAUCUCCAAAAUGU